Molecule: ribosomal RNA, 594 nt
Filed under: uncultured bacterium
Lineage: Bacteria
Description: bacterial SSU rRNA
Rfam family: Bacterial small subunit ribosomal RNA
Source: RNAcentral
AACGAACGCUGGCGGCGUGGAUAAGACAUGCAAGUCGAACGGGACAUGCUUUGUAGCAAUACAGAGUAUGUUCAGUGGCGCAAGGGUGAGUAACACGUGGGCAAUCUGCCGGGAAAUGGGGGAUAGCUUGCCGAGAGGCAAAUUAAUACCGCAUGUGGCUAGGGAGGACAUCCUCCUAAUGCUAAAGUCGGGGCAACCUGACGUUUCCUGAUGAGCCCGCGGCCUAUCAGCUAGUUGGUAAGGUAACGGCUUACCAAGGCUAUGACGGGUAGCUGGUCUGAGAGGACGACCAGCCACACUGGAACUGAGACACGGUCCAGACACCUACGGGUGGCAGCAGUCGAGAAUUUUUCUCAAUGGGGGAAACCCUGAAGGAGCGACGCCGCGUGGAGGAUGAAGGUUUUCGGAUUGUAAACCCCUGUCAUGAGGGAGCAAUGCUGCGGGGAGUAACUGCCCUGUAGUUGAUAGUACCUCAAGAGGAAGGGACGGCUAACUCUGUGCCAGCAGCCGCGGUAAUACAGAGGUCCCAAGCGUUGUUCGGAUUCAUGGGGCGUAAAGGGUGCGUAGGCUGCGCCAUAAGUAGGAUGUGAAAUC